GUUGAACGCUGGCGGCAUGCCUUACACAUGCAAGUCGAACGGCAGCACGGGUGCUUGCACCUGGUGGCGAGUGGCGAACGGGUGAGUAAUACAUCGGAACAUGUCCUGUAGUGGGGGAUAGCCCGGCGAAAGCCGGAUUAAUACCGCAUACGAUCUACGGAUGAAAGCGGGGGACCUUCGGGCCUCGCGCUAUAGGGUUGGCCGAUGGCUGAUUAGCUAGUUGGUGGGGUAAAGGCCUACCAAGGCGACGAUCAGUAGCUGGUCUGAGAGGACGACCAGCCACACUGGGACUGAGACACGGCCCAGACUCCUACGGGAGGCAGCAGUGGGGAAUUUUGGACAAUGGGCGAAAGCCUGAUCCAGCAAGGCCGCGUGUGUGAAGAAGGCCUUCGGGUUGUAAAGCACUUUUGUCCGGAAAGAAAUCCUUGGCCCUAAUACGGUCGGGGGAUGACGGUACCGGAAGAAUAAGCACCGGCUAACUACGG
This 485-nucleotide ribosomal RNA is filed under the name uncultured bacterium. RNAcentral's name for it is "partial 16S ribosomal RNA". It matches the Rfam family "Bacterial small subunit ribosomal RNA", at positions 28 to 506 of the family's 1533-position model. The record is from RNAcentral.